This 999-nucleotide ribosomal RNA is filed under the name Lactiplantibacillus plantarum. RNAcentral describes it as "bacterial SSU rRNA". It matches the Rfam family "Bacterial small subunit ribosomal RNA", at positions 51 to 1014 of the family's 1533-position model. Lineage: Bacteria; Bacillati; Bacillota; Bacilli; Lactobacillales; Lactobacillaceae. The record is from RNAcentral.
CUAUAAUGCAGUCGAACGAACUCUGGUAUUGAUUGGUGCUUGCAUCAUGAUUUACAUUUGAGUGAGUGGCGAACUGGUGAGUAACACGUGGGAAACCUGCCCAGAAGCGGGGGAUAACACCUGGAAACAGAUGCUAAUACCGCAUAACAACUUGGACCGCAUGGUCCGAGUUUGAAAGAUGGCUUCGGCUAUCACUUUUGGAUGGUCCCGCGGCGUAUUAGCUAGAUGGUGGGGUAACGGCUCACCAUGGCAAUGAUACGUAGCCGACCUGAGAGGGUAAUCGGCCACAUUGGGACUGAGACACGGCCCAAACUCCUACGGGAGGCAGCAGUAGGGAAUCUUCCACAAUGGACGAAAGUCUGAUGGAGCAACGCCGCGUGAGUGAAGAAGGGUUUCGGCUCGUAAAACUCUGUUGUUAAAGAAGAACAUAUCUGAGAGUAACUGUUCAGGUAUUGACGGUAUUUAACCAGAAAGCCACGGCUAACUACGUGCCAGCAGCCGCGGUAAUACGUAGGUGGCAAGCGUUGUCCGGAUUUAUUGGGCGUAAAGCGAGCGCAGGCGGUUUUUUAAGUCUGAUGUGAAAGCCUUCGGCUCAACCGAAGAAGUGCAUCGGAAACUGGGAAACUUGAGUGCAGAAGAGGACAGUGGAACUCCAUGUGUAGCGGUGAAAUGCGUAGAUAUAUGGAAGAACACCAGUGGCGAAGGCGGCUGUCUGGUCUGUAACUGACGCUGAGGCUCGAAAGUAUGGGUAGCAAACAGGAUUAGAUACCCUGGUAGUCCAUACCGUAAACGAUGAAUGCUAAGUGUUGGAGGGUUUCCGCCCUUCAGUGCUGCAGCUAACGCAUUAAGCAUUCCGCCUGGGGAGUACGGCCGCAAGGCUGAAACUCAAAGGAAUUGACGGGGGCCCGCACAAGCGGUGGAGCAUGUGGUUUAAUUCGAAGCUACGCGAAGAACCUUACCAGGUCUUGACAUACUAUGCAAAUCUAAGAGAUUAGACGU